Molecule: ribosomal RNA, 468 nt
Filed under: uncultured bacterium
Lineage: Bacteria
Description: partial 16S ribosomal RNA
Rfam family: Bacterial small subunit ribosomal RNA
Source: RNAcentral
GACGAACGCUGGCGGCGUGCUUAACACAUGCAAGUCGAACGGAAAGGCCCUGCUUCUGUGGGGUGCUCGAGUGGCGAACGGGUGAGUAACACGAGAGUAACCUGCCCUUGACUUGGGGAUAACUUCAGGAAACUGGGGAUACUACCGGAUAGGAGCUCCUGCUGCAUGGUGGGGGUUGGAAAGUUUCGGCGGUGGGGGAUGGACUCGCGGCUUAUCAGCUUGUUGGUGGGGUAGUGGCUUACCAAGGCUGUGACGGGUAGCCGACCUUAGGGGGUGACCAGGGACCAUACGCCUGAGGUAGGCAGCAGUAUCCUACGGUAGACAGUAGUGGAGAAUAUGGUGCAAUGGGGGGACGUCUGUUGAAGCAACGUCGCGUGCGGGAAACCGGGCUUCGGGUGGGAAACGUCUGUGGGCUGAGACGAAGAGUGAUUGACGGUAAUUAGUCAAGAAGCACCGGCUAACUACGUG